This 630-nucleotide ribosomal RNA is filed under the name uncultured bacterium. RNAcentral's name for it is "bacterial LSU rRNA". It matches the Rfam family "Bacterial large subunit ribosomal RNA", at positions 497 to 1119 of the family's 2925-position model. The record is from RNAcentral.
AGUACCGUGAGGGAAAGGUGAAAAGCACCCCGAUGAGGGGAGUGAAACAGUACCUGAAACGGAUUGCCUACAAGCAGUUGGAGCCCCCUUGAGGGGUGACAGCGUACCUCUUGCAUAAUGGGUCAGUGACUUAAUUGUAUCAAGCAAGCUUAAGCCCUUUAGGUGUAGGCGCAGCGAAAAGCGAGUUCUGAAUAGGGGCGAUUUUAGUUUGAUGUAUUAGACCCCGAACCCCCGGCGAUCUAGGCAUGACCAGGANUGAAGGUGCGGUAACCACGCACUGGAGGUCCGANCCGAUUAACGUUGAAAAGUUNCCGGAUGAGUUGUGUUUAGGGGUGAAAGGCCAAUCAAGCCGGGAAAUAGCUGGUUCUCCGCGAAAACUAUUGAGGUAGUGCCUCGAGUAUUACUGUGGGGGGUAGAGCACUGGAUGGGCUAGGGGGUCGCGAGAUCUACCAAACCUAACCAAACUCCGAAUACCCACAAGUACAGCUCGGGAGACAGACGGCGGGUGCUAAGGUCCGUCGUCAAAAGGGAAACAGCCCCAACCUACNGCUAAGGUCCCCAAGUCAUCACUAAGUGGGAAAGCAUGUGGGACUUCCAAAACAACCAGGAGGUUGGCUUAGAAGCAGCCAU